RNAcentral lists this ribosomal RNA (293 nucleotides) under uncultured bacterium. RNAcentral describes it as "partial 16S ribosomal RNA". RNAcentral also lists the same sequence under 2 other names. The record is from RNAcentral.
GGACUACUGGGGUUUCUAAUCCCGUUCGCUCCCCUAGCUUUCGCGUCUCAGCGUCAGAAGACGUCCAGGACCUCGCUUUCGCCACGGGCGUUCCAUCCGAUCUCAACGCAUUUCACCGCUCCACCGGAUGUUCCAGGUCCCCCUACGUCCCUCCAGACGGGGCGUUUCGGUGCCACUUCCCCGGUUGAGCCGGGGGAUUUCAGCGACCGACGUCCCCAUCCGCCUACACGCGCUUUAAGCCCAGUGAUUCCGAAUAACGUUCGCACGGUUCGUCUUACCGCGGCGGCUGGCAC